AAGCCAAAGGAGCGGCUCUUCCGGGGUGUAAGGAUGAGGAAGUGGGGGAAGUGGGUGGCGGAGAUCAGGGAGCCCAACAAGCGGUCCAGGAUCUGGCUGGGGUCCUACUGCACCCCGGUGGCCGCCGCCAAGGCCUACGACACCGCCCUCUUCUACCUCCGCGGCCGCGCCGCCCGCCUCAACUUCCCUGACGACGUCUCCGUCGACGACGCUGGCAGCGGCGCCGACAUCGGCAUGCCGGCGGCGUUAAUAAGGAAGAAGGCGGUGGAGGUGGGCGCCAAGGUCGACGCGCUCCAGCUGAGAAGCGCGUCCGUCUUCUCCUCUC
RNAcentral lists this long non-coding RNA (325 nucleotides) under Musa acuminata (dwarf banana). RNAcentral describes it as "long non-coding RNA (MACU_LNC003767)". The record is from RNAcentral. Lineage: Eukaryota; Viridiplantae; Streptophyta; Magnoliopsida; Zingiberales; Musaceae.